This is a long non-coding RNA of Cucumis melo (muskmelon), 7507 nucleotides long. RefSeq lists it as uncharacterized. The transcript is spliced from 2 exons. The record is from RefSeq and is a predicted model, not a curated record. Lineage: Eukaryota; Viridiplantae; Streptophyta; Magnoliopsida; Cucurbitales; Cucurbitaceae.
UUUCUUGCCAUUUAGUUUAUUUUACCAUAGAUGUUAUGUGAGGAGUCUCCUACUGCUUGGCAAUGGAAAGAAGAAAAUUGUUAUCUCAAAUUUGAUUUAAAACAAAAGAUUUAGUCUACCGUAGACACUGGUUCUCGAGAGUAUUUUAAAUGCAUAUGAUCGUAUUUUCAAGUCUAGUGCAAUUGCUUAACGUUUUUCUUUAAGAGUCAUUCUAAACGACCGUAGAUUUUAAGAGAAACAUUCUUUUUUACUUGAAAGAUUAGAAUAUGAGUAAGCUGUCCUUUGUCGUUUAUUACUUUUAAUACAAAAUACACCUUCUUAAAUAGGAAAAAAAUUGGACAAUCUAACUCAAAAUAAUAGCGAAUCUAACACCGUCUAAACUUAUUUGUAAACUUCUAUUGGUACCUAACUUGUGUAGAACUUCUUGGUAGAGGAUUAGAUUGAAUGGAAACUAUGAUACUUCAUUAAUGAAGAGGUCAAAGCCUUUAUAGGCAAAUUACAACAAGGCUCUCAGCCAGCCAACUAACAAACUUAAAACAAAAUACUAACUACCCAACUUAGAAUAAGCCUACAUUACAUCAAUUUCACCCUCCUCAAAAGAAACUCGAUUGAGUUUAUACAAACAAGGUAUAAUCAUCUUGAGCAUAAUAAGGAAAAAUAUCUGGUCACGUUGAAUGUAGAGCUGAUGUUCAUGGAGGAUGGGAGGUCCACACAAUAGACAUUUUUCCCGAACUUUUCCAAUGUAGGGAAAGGUCCACACGAGUCUUCUUGAUAUGGAUUAUAGACCAUGACAAAAUCUCCAAGGGAAAAUUCUACUUGAGCCUUGUAUUUUGAGUUGGCAGCUGUCAAUUGGUUGAUGAUUUCAUCAUGGAUUUUUUUGAACAUGAUCCACCAUAAAACCAACAUUUGACUGAGAUGUUAGAAGUAGUGGGCUUAGCCCAUUGGGAGAUUUUCCCUAAAUGUUUUUUCCUUUUUUACCUUCUUGUAUUUUUCUAUUUAUUCCUCUAUUGUAUCAAUUGUAUUUUUUUCAGGAAAUAAUAAGAAGAAAAAUAUCGUGGUUUUUCUCUCGGUACUUGGGUUUCCACGUAAAUGUUUGUGUUUUUGUCUCUACUUUUAAUAUGGUAUUGAGCGGAACAUUGAACACACCCUAAACAACAUAACUAUGAUGGAAAUCAAACAAAAGAGACAACCGCAGGUUUUAGCGCCACCGUCAAUGCUCAAAUCCAUGUUGCCAUGUUCGAAUGGUGAAGUCGCCUUCAGAAAACGCCGGAAAACAUAACUACACAGAUUUUCUUGUCGUUCGCACCGCUAGAAACCACCUAUGCACUGCUACACGCUGCUGUUGGAAGUCCAGACGCCACUGCAGGAGCUACACGUGCCAGCCCAUCCUAUUCAAAUGCCGUCGGCCGACCUAACCGUGUCCCCACGUGCCGAUUCAUGUGUUGCUGCUACCUAAUUCUAGCCGGCCACCACCGCUUUUUGAGUCAAAUCUGAAUAGCUUAACAGCAACUGAAAGGGCUUCAACAACAUAUUGCGGGAAUUGAGGCUACUCUAGGGACGACAUCCAACACUUCUGUACCGAUUUAUUCUGAGAAUUCGGUAACCUCAUUUCCAACUUUAUCCUUAUCCUAUGUGAAUGAGAAUGCUAGUCCAACCACGCUUGAAGCUAUUGUCUAGUGAGGUGUACCUCAGUCCUUUAGUCUCAUUACUAUUAAUGGUAAGAAUCCUUGGAUCCUGGACUCUGGUGCCACAGAUCAUUUAACCGAUUCCUCUUAACACUUUGUGCUUUACAUUUCGUGUGUUGGGAAUGAGAAGAUAAGAAUUGUUGAUGGCUCCUUUUCUCCCAUUGUCGGAAAAUGGUAGAUUUCUCUUUUUAACGAGUUCUCAUUACACAAUGUGUUGCAUGUGCCACAAAUUUCAUAUAAUCUUCUGUUGAUUAGCAAGAUUACUUGUGAAUUAAACUGCAAAAAGCAACAUUUUUACAUGAUUCUGUUUCUUUUUAGGACUCGAGCUCAAGGAAGAUGAUCGACACUGCCUGGUACAAUAGGGGUCUUUACUUGUUUCAUGAUGAUGCCUCUUCUUGUAGCAUUUCUAGGAUGAGUUUUUUAUCUUCCUAUUUUACUACUUCUGAAAAAGAUCUUAUGUUGUGGCGUUUUCGUUUAAGCCACCGCAACUUUAAAUAUAUGAAAUACCUAUUUCCUUAUCUCUUUUCUAAAGUUGAUGUUUCUUCCUUAUCUUGUGAUGUGUGCAUACAAGCUAAACAACACCGAGUCUCGUUCCCUCGCAACCCUAUAAGCCAAUCAGACCUUUUACUCUUGUCCACAAUGAUGUUUGGGCACCAUCCAAGGUCCACUACCUCCUCUGGGAAACAUGGUUUUUCACCUUUAUUGAUGACUAUACUCGUCUUACUUGGGUUUUCCUAAUCUCUGACAAAUCUGAAGUUACCUCCGUAUUCCGGGACUUCUAUCACACCAUAGAAAUGCAAUUCAAUACAAAGGUUGCAAUCCUGUGGAGUAAUAAUGGUCGUGAGUUUCAAAACCAUUCUCUUAACGAGUUCUUAUUCUCUAAAGGAAUUGUUCACCAAAGUUCCUAUGCUUAUAACCCUCUAACAAAAUGGGGUUGCCAAACGAAAAAAUCGUCACCUUUUGGAAGUUGCUCGUUUCCUUACGUUAUCCACUUCUCUUCCUUCCUAGGAAAGAGAAGUUGCUCACUACCGCUCAUCUCAUCAAUCGCAUGCCCUUUUGUGUCCUUCACCUCUACACACCCUUAGAUUGCCUCAAAGAAUCCUAUCCUUCCACCAGUCUCAUUCCUGAUGUUUCUCUUCGGGUGCUUGGAUGCACAGUCUAUGUCCAUAGCCAUGGUCCUAGCAAAACUAAAUUCACUCCUAGGGCUUAGGCUUGCAUGUUUGUUGGGUAUCCCCUGCACCAACGAGCUUUUAAAUGUUUCCACCCAUCUUUUGGAAGUUGCUUGUUUCCUUACGUUAUCCACUUCUCUUCCUUCCUAGGAAAGAGAAGUUGCUCACUACCGCUCAUCUCAUCAAUCGCAUGCCCUUUUGUGUCCUUCACGUCUACACACCCUUAGAUUGCCUUAAAGAAUCCUAUCCUUCCACCAAUCUCAUCCCUGAUGUUUCUCUUCGGGUGCUUGGAUGCACAGCCUAUGUCCAUUGCCAUGGUCCUAGCAAAACUAAAUUCACUCCUAGGGAUUAGGCUUGCAUGUUUGUUGGGUAUCCCCUGCACCAACGAGCUUUUAAAUGUUUCCACCCAUCUUCACGUAAGUACUUUGUUGCUAUGGAUGUCACCUUUGUUGAAGAUCGUCCUUUCUUUCCCGUUAGCCUACUUCAGGGGGAGGAUAUGAAUGAAGAGUCUAACUAUAUGCUACCCUUAGAGUCUACUUGUCCUACUAUGGUUACCUUACUUGACCCUAGCCCUCACAAUACAAUCCUACUUACAAAUCAAGUUUCUUGGAAAACCUACUAGAAUCUUAGAAAGGGAGCUGAGUCUCCUAUUGUUCAGAUGACACCAGUCCAGGAUUUUGAACCAAUAAGAGAUCAAUGUAUGACUGAUUCCAUAAACUCACUUAGUAAUAACAGAAUGAGUGAGAAUGACAGGUAGAGACGAAUUCAACUGACUCACAUACUGAUAGAGAGGCAGGUAAGAAUGACGGGUCCAAGAUAGCUGUUUUGGAAGAUAUGGAUGAGCAGAGCAGUAUUGAUGGGGUCAUUAUAGACAGACUAGACAAGAUUGAUGAGAACGAUGUUGUUGUUGAACAUACUGAAAUCGAAACUAAGUCAAAACCAUUCUGGAAAUACUAGUAAGCUCUUGAUCUUUCUAUUGCACUGAGGAAAGGUACUAGGUCCUGUACAAGGCACUUCAUAUUCAAUUAUGUGUCAUACGAGAAUCUCUCACCAUAGUUCAGAGCUUUACUCCCAGCCUUGACUCUACCAUAAUACCUAAGAGUAUCCACCUUGCCUUAAGAGUGUUCAAAGUGAAAAGUUGUUGUCAUGAAAGAAAUGAGAGCCCUAGAAAAGAACAAGACCUGGGAUCUCUGCACACUCCCUAAGGGACACAAGACUGUUGGAUGCAAAUGGGUGUUUACACGCAAGAAUAGAACAGAUGGACAAAUAUAAGGCCAGACUAGUUGCAAAAGGGUUCAUUUUGACCUAUGGGAUUGACUAUUCUGAGACUUUUUCUCCUAUUGCAAAUUUGAACACCAUUAGAGUUUUGUUAUCUAUUGUAGUGAAUAAAGAUUGGUCCCUACAUCAACUUGAUGUUAAGAAUACAUUUUUGAGUGGGAAUCUUAAAGACGAAGUAUAUAUGAGUCUGCCUCCAGAAUUUGAAGCUCAAUUUAAUAAUCAGGUUUGCAAGCUUCUGGAAGUCUUUAUACGGUUUGAAACAAUCACCAAGAAGAGCGUGGUUUGACAGUUUUUCCACUUUCAUCAAGUCUCAAGGUUAUAAUCAGAGGCACUCUGAUCACACCUUGUUCACUAAAGUCUCCAAGCAAGGAAAAUUGCAGUAUUGAUUGUCUAUGUCGGUGACAUUGUGCUAUCUGGGGAUGAUAUUGAUGAGAUCGUUCAACAAAAGAAGAAGAUGGGGUUUGAGUUCGAAAUUAAGGACCUGGGAAAUCUGACGUACUUUCUUGGGAAGGAGAUUGUUAGAUCCAAAGAAGGCAUCUCAGUGUCUCAAAGAAAGUACACUCUUGAUUUAUUAGUUGAGACAGGUGUGCUAGGAUGUCGUUCUUCUGACACACCCAUUGAGUUCAAUGCCAAACUCGGAAAUUCAUGUGACAGGGUUUCUAUUGAUAAAGAAAAAUAUCAACGCCUGGUGGGAAAGUUGAUUUACUUAUCUCACACUAGGCUUGACAUCUCCCAUGCUGUGAGCACCGUUAGUUAGUUCAUCAGGCACCUUCUGAGGAUCACAUGGAAGCAGUUAACAGGAUUCAGAGGUAUUUAAAAGCAACUCCUCGUAAAGGUCUGAGAUUUAGGAAGACCGACAGAGAAGAUGUGUCGAAGCUUAUACUGAUUCUGACUGGGCAGGAUCUAUUGUUGAUAGAAAGUCUACCUCAGGAUACUAUACUUUUGUGUGGAGCAAUCUUGUAACUUGAAGGAGUAAGAAAGAAAGUGUUGUGGCCAGGAGCAGCAUUGAGGCCAACUACCAAGUUAUGAGUUUGGGAAUAUGUGAGGAAAUUUGACUCUAGGAAGUCCUAUCUGAUCUUCAUCAAGAGUGUGAGACACCAAUGAAGCUUUUUUAUGAUAAUAAAUCCGCUAUUAGUUUUGCUAACAGCCUAGUUCAACAUGAUAAAACUAAACAUGUUGAGAUUGAUUGGCAUUUCAUCAAAGAAAGACUUGAUAGUAGGAGCAUAUGCAUUUUGUACAUCCCUUCGAGCCAACAAGUUUCUGAUGUCCUCACCAAAGAGCUUCUCUGACCAAACUUCGACUUUUGUGUUAGCAAGUUGGACCUCAUUGGUAUUUACGUCCCAACUUGAGGGAAAGUAUUAGAAUUAGUAGGCUUAGCCCAUUGGGAGAUUUGUCCUAAAUAUUUUUUGCUUUUUUAUAUCUUUGUAUUUUUCUAUUAUUCCCCUCUUGCACUUAUUGUAUUUUUAUCAUAAAAUAAGAAGAAAAAUAUCGUGGUUUUUCUUCCGGUAUUCAGAUUUUCACGUAAAUUUAUGUGUUCUUUUUUUCUAUUUUCAAAUCAACGACAAAAGGGGGAUUAGUAAGGUUGAAGUUUAAACAUGGAGGAUGAUAAUAAACUACCUCAAAUGGACAUUUCCUUGUUGAUAUGUUAUGCAUGUUGUAUGCGAAUUUUGCUUGAGGUUAAGCAAGGUCCCAUUUUUUGUGUUGGUCUUUGCUAAGGCAUCUAAGAAGGCUUCCCAAGGUUGCAUUUGACACUUCCGUUUGAUCAUUCGCUUGAGGAUGACUUGUUGAGCUAAACUUGAGUUUAGUAUCGAAUUUUUUUCAUAAACUUUUCUUGAAAAGAACUCAAACUUGAUAUCUCUAUGUUAAACAAAUACUCUUAUGAAUACCACGUAGAAUUACAAUCUGUUUGAAAAAAAAAAAAGAGCAAUAAAACCCUAAACCUUAAAAAAAUGAGCAAUACUCUAUUAGGUGCGUAGACAAGAGUAUUAUUAUAUUAGUGCUAAAGGGUACAAUCCAUGGAUCCAUGGUCACCCAAAUGUUGUAGGGUCAGGUGGGUUAUCUCGUGAGACUAGUUGAGGUGUGUGUAAGCUGGUUCGAAUGCUGUAGAUAUUUAAAAAAAAAAGUAUUAAGGGGUAUAAUUGGGAUCAGAUGGAAAGUUCGUUACUAGAUGUUGUAUACAUAGUAAAAGGGUGCGUGAGUGAAGGUUGGAUUAUUUUGUAAAGUGAACUAGGUCCUGGACGAGAGCAUUCAAGAGGGAGGUUCCAAGUUCCUUUAUUUUGAGUUAUCUUGUAGUUUCUUCUUUAAUUCUCAAUAUAUUUUAGUUCUUGAUUCUUGUUAGGAAGUGUUCUAACAUACUCAUGUUCUCAAUUCAAGCUCUUUGUAGAUUAGUCUAUUCAGGAUAUGUGUUUAAUUAGAAUAUUUUUGUUCAAUCUAUAUAAUGAACUUUUAGAUACUUAUGUUUUUAUUUUUUUAAUGGAAACGAGCUUCUUUAUUAAUAAAACAAAAGAGACUAAAGCUCAAGGUACAAGAGAAUUAUACUAAGAGCAAAAAGGACAAAAAAAGAAAUAGCCUAUGUUCGAGUCAAGAAGGAGCACUAUUACGAUGACACCCCUCAAACGAACACAACCAAUGAUCCACGAGCUAUACCAAACCCUCUAAAACCCAAGCAACAAAGGUGUUGCGAGACCAAAAUCCUCACAAUUCCGAUUUUUUGAAGGUAAAAGAUUCCUAUGCCAAGCUUCUUCAUCUUCAAUUAGGCUAGACAUUCAGAAUGCAAAAAAGAGUACCUUAAUGAUAGAAUUGAUUUUAGAUCAAAAUCCUGAUUCUUUGGAGGUAUAUUGAACACAUACGCAAGUUUCUUCUCUUUCAACUGGAUUCAGCCUCUCAGUUUAAAUAUUCUGUUUUUUCCUUACUUUCCUCAAAAGCUACCCUUGGCAAACUUCGGGCCUUCCUUCCAAAAAGAAAUGCGAUACAACUUUUGACUCUCCUUUUAGUGUGAGUAGGGAGGAAGUUGAUCAUUUGAUGAAGUUAAAUGGGCUGGAGGAUCAUUCUUUGGAGGACCUUUCAGAAAGUGAUCUUAGCGAUUUGUUUCAAAAUGAAGAGGAAUUGAAUGUUGAAAAAUAAACCCCUAGAAGUCGCUCUCAAUCUUAGCGUUAACGAUAUUCCAACCCACUUCUUUUAAACGGAAACAAGUCUCUAUGAAUAUUAAUAAGAAAGACUAAAACUCAAAAUAUAAGAGAAAUAUACCAAGAGCAAAAUAAAAAUAAAUAAAUAAAAAAUAAAAGAAACCGAUACAACAUAAACCGAGAUAAGAGAGAACAUAAUAAAAUUACAACGAGCUACACAAGAUCCUCUAGAACGAAAGCAAAAUAAGAA